This 425-nucleotide ribosomal RNA is filed under the name uncultured bacterium. RNAcentral's name for it is "partial 16S ribosomal RNA". It matches the Rfam family "Bacterial small subunit ribosomal RNA", at positions 354 to 796 of the family's 1533-position model. The record is from RNAcentral.
GUGGGGAAUCUUGCGCAAUGGGCGAAAGCCUGACGCAGCCAUGCCGCGUGAAUGAUGAAGGUCUUAGGAUUGUAAAAUUCUUUCACCGGGGACGAUAAUGACGGUACCCGGAGAAGAAGCUCCGGCUAACUUCGUGCCAGCAGCCGCGGUAAUACGAAGGGGGCUAGCGUUGCUCAGAAUUACUGGGCGUAAAGGGCGCGUAGGCGGACAGCUUAGUCAGAGGUGAAAGCCCAGGGCUCAACCUUGGAAUUGCCUUUGAUACUGGCUGUCUUGAGUUUGGGAGAGGUGAGUGGAACGCCGAGUGUAGAGGUGAAAUUCGUAGAUAUUCGGAAGAACACCAGUGGCGAAGGCGACUCACUGGCCCAAUACUGACGCUGAGGCGCGAAAGCGUGGGGAGCAAACAGGAUUAGAUACCCUAGUAGUCC